UGCCCAGCAACUUCUAUCCCUACCUCCUCGCGGUACUGGCCGGGAUGCGAGCAACCUUAGAGAAUAUCGGGUAAUCAAUUCCGGUGUUUGUAUGCUGACAGGGAAAC
RNAcentral lists this ribozyme (107 nucleotides) under Aedes aegypti (yellow fever mosquito). Its description in RNAcentral is "drz-agam-1 ribozyme". It matches the Rfam family "drz-agam-1 ribozyme". Lineage: Eukaryota; Metazoa; Arthropoda; Insecta; Diptera; Culicidae. The record is from Rfam by way of RNAcentral.